AGUCGAACGCACUCUCGUUUAGAUUGAAGGAGCUUGCUCCUGAUUGAUAAACAUUUGAGUGAGUGGCGGACGGGUGAGUAACACGUGGGUAACCUGCCCUAAAGUGGGGGAUAACAUUUGGAAACAGAUGCUAAUACCGCAUAAAACCUAACACCGCAUGGUGUAGGGUUGAAAGAUGGUUUCGGCUAUCACUUUAGGAUGGACCCGCGGUGCAUUAGUUAGUUGGUGAGGUAAAGGCUCACCAAGACCGUGAUGCAUAGCCGACCUGAGAGGGUAAUCGGCCACACUGGGACUGAGACACGGCCCAGACUCCUACGGGAGGCAGCAGUAGGGAAUCUUCCACAAUGGACGAAAGUCUGAUGGAGCAACGCCGCGUGAGUGAAGAAGGUUUUCGGAUCGUAAAACUCUGUUGUUGGAGAAGAAUGUAUCUGAUAGUAACUGAUCAGGUAGUGACGGUAUCCAACCAGAAAGCCACGGCUAACUACGUGCCAGCAGCCGCGGUAAUACGUAGGUGGCAAGCGUUGUCCGGAUUUAUUGGGCGUAAAGCGAGCGCAGGCGGUUUCUUAAGUCUGAUGUGAAAGCCUUCGGCUCAACCGAAGAAGUGCAUCGGAAACUGGGAAACUUGAGUGCAGAAGAGGACAGUGGAACUCCAUGUGUAGCGGUGAAAUGCGUAGAUAUAUGGAAGAACACCAGUGGCGAAGGCGGCUGUCUGGUCUGUAACUGACGCUGAGGCUCGAAAGCAUGGGUAGCAAACAGGAUUAGAUACCCUGGUAGUCCAUGCCGUAAAACGAUGAGUGCUANGUGUUGGAGGGUUUCCGCCCUUCAGUGCCGCAGCUAACGCAUUAAGCACUCCGCCUGGGGAGUACGACCGCAAGGUUGAAACUCAAAGGAAUUGACGGGGGCCC
RNAcentral lists this ribosomal RNA (905 nucleotides) under Latilactobacillus sakei subsp. sakei. RNAcentral's name for it is "bacterial SSU rRNA". It matches the Rfam family "Bacterial small subunit ribosomal RNA", at positions 60 to 922 of the family's 1533-position model. The record is from RNAcentral. Lineage: Bacteria; Bacillati; Bacillota; Bacilli; Lactobacillales; Lactobacillaceae.